This 252-nucleotide ribosomal RNA is filed under the name uncultured bacterium. RNAcentral describes it as "partial 16S ribosomal RNA". It matches the Rfam family "Bacterial small subunit ribosomal RNA", at positions 524 to 776 of the family's 1533-position model. The record is from RNAcentral.
UACGUAGGUGGCGAGCGUUGUCCGGAUUACUGGGCGUAAAGAGCGCGCAGGCGGUCGUGCAAGUCGCGUGUGAAAGCCCCCGGCUCAACUGGGGAGGGUCACGCGAUACUGCUCGACUCGAAGGCAGGAGAGGGAAGUGGAAUUCCGGGUGGAGUGGUGAAAUGCGUAGAGAUCCGGAGGAACACCGAAGGCGAAGGCAGUGUCCUGGCGAGUGACUGACGCUGAGGUGCGAAAGCCAGGGGAGCGAACGGG